RNAcentral lists this ribosomal RNA (253 nucleotides) under uncultured bacterium. RNAcentral's name for it is "partial 16S ribosomal RNA". It matches the Rfam family "Bacterial small subunit ribosomal RNA", at positions 524 to 776 of the family's 1533-position model. The record is from RNAcentral.
UACAGAGGUCUCAAGCGUUGUUCGGAUUCAUUGGGCGUAAAGAGCGUGUAGGCGGCCCGAUUAGUCCGCUGUGAAAGUCCAGGGCUCAACCCUGGAAUGCCGGUGGAUACUGUCGGGCUAGAGUCCGGAAGGGGCGAGUGGAAUUCCUGGUGUAGCGGUGAAAUGCGCAGAUAUCAGGAGGAACACCAAUGGCGAAGGCAGCUCGCUGGGACGUGACUGACGCUAAGGCGCGAAAGCGUGGGGAGCGAACAGG